CUGUAAUUCCAAAAUAGCAACUGCUUGCAUUAUAUGCACUUUAGUUCUUAAAUGGCCCUUGAAAUAAAUGUUUUAUUAAAGAGUUUGCAUGUAAUACCGAAUAUAGAAAUACAGUAAUACAGUAAUUGUGGUAAUACAGAAAUAAAUUGAUUCCACGCUUAGUGUAAAUACGCUAAGAAUUUUAAUCAUAAAGGGCAAGUGGCCUCGGUUUCUGGAAUCCCUCAGGAAGCCAACUAUUUUGAGGAACUGUACAGAAGUGCCAACAAGACACCCAUCUUGUCAGUGGUAACAGAUGAGCACAGAUGAGCAGGUGCGAGUGCAAACACAGACUUUUCCCAGAGGCUAAUGAGAUGAAAGGAGGAACCAGUGGCUAGACUUUGAAGGUUAAAACUAGAGACAACUAAAAAGGCUACAGUAAUGGAUGUGCACUGUUAUUUAAUAUAAAAAGUGGAAUGAUGACAUGGUUUUCGAUAUAGGUUAGAUGUUCUGGAAAAAUAUUACAAACUUUUAUUAUUUUCCAUUUAAGCGUCUAAUCUCACAACUUAAAUUAUUCAUAGGGUCGCAGAAUCUACAACAGGAAAGAAGCUAUUGAGCUGAUUAUGCCUGAGCCUGCUCUUUGAAAAACCUGUCCAAUUAGUCCAACUCCAUACUCUUGCCUUGUAGCCACAGGCUGUUUGACGGGCCAUCCCACUGAAUGCUUUCCUUUCUAAAUCAUGGCUUUAGCAAUAUACCUGAACAUAGCAUUUUUCAGCCAAGAGAAUGCCUUGCAGCCUUAUGGAGGCUAAAAUAAAGGCACUGUGGACAUUGGAGGAUGCAGAGAGCAUAGGCACCAGGAAGAUAAAUGUGCUGCUGUGGGGAGAAUUUCCCCAGUUAUAAAUGAAAAUAAGUAACCUUUAUCAUCUUGUUCUCUUCUGCACCAAUUGCAUAAGAAAAAUUGCUGAAUCAGAAAAUCUGAUUUAUGAGAAUUAACAGGUGUGUCAAAGUGAGUUAAUCAAUUGACCUAAAGAGCUACAAAGACAGAAAAGGUGAAGUAGCCCAAGUAAACGAUUGCAUUGGAUAAUUCACUCCGUCACCAGGGACAUUGUCACUCAACAACUCCGCAAAGAAGUAUGCCUUAAGCACCUGCAAUAGUGAAAACCUGACAAGAUCACAGAGCUGGGACAGUGGGAAACUCCAACACGGUUUUUCUGUUGCUUCAAGCAAAGAGAAUACAACCAAGUGAGCAAUAACAGAAGGCACAAGAGACUGCAGAUGCUGGAAUCUGGAGUGAAAAAGGAGAAGCCACAACAAUUCAAGCAGCAUCCGUGGAGGUUAUUGGCUUGGAAGGAGACGAAUGGUAGAGAUAUGAGGGCGGCCCAUGGUGAUCUGUAACAAGACCUGUCCUUUCCAGACCUUUCAAUAAAAGACUUGAAGAAGGAAGAAAGUGCAUGAUGUCUAGGUCUGGAACUGACGCAUUAAGUUAGACACAGAAAGUGAGGAGGUCGAGUACAGAAAGGUGUGUUAUGCAGACGAACAAAACUCUGGCAAGAUUAUGUUCAAUGUGGGAAAUGGAGAGAGGACAGCCAAGGGUCUGUGUUGCUCCCUUGACUGGGGUUUUCCUUGCCACUUCCAUCGGCCAAUAAUUAGUAAAGUUUUGAACUGGUCUACCAAACCGCUUUGUGAGUUGUCUGUUUAUUAAGAAGUGAACCUGUUUGUUUAAUUAGAAGUUAACCCUUUUCACCUAUGCUGUAUUGUUCUAUGUUCUACAAAAUACUAUUAAGAUUGAAGUUAAAGAUAUAUGGAUACACUGAUCUGUUCUGUAUUCAUGCCUUCUA
Long non-coding RNA from Leucoraja erinaceus (little skate), 1814 nucleotides. RefSeq lists it as uncharacterized. The transcript is spliced from 4 exons. The record is from RefSeq and is a predicted model, not a curated record. Lineage: Eukaryota; Metazoa; Chordata; Chondrichthyes; Rajiformes; Rajidae.